Molecule: ribosomal RNA, 261 nt
Filed under: Rhodella violacea
Lineage: Eukaryota; Rhodophyta; Rhodellophyceae; Rhodellales; Rhodellaceae
Description: partial Bacterial small subunit ribosomal RNA
Rfam family: Bacterial small subunit ribosomal RNA
Source: RNAcentral
GCUAAUCGCUGAAAGCCGGUCGUAGUUCGGAUUGGGGUCUGCAACUCGACCCCAUGAAGUCGGAGUCGCUAGUAAUCGCAGAUCAGCAACGCUGCGGUGAAUACGUUCCCGGGGCUUGUACACACCGCCCGUCACGUCACGAAAGUCGGUAACACCCGAAGCCGAUGGCCCAACCACUUGUGGAGGGAGUCGUCGAAGGUGGGACUGGCGAUUGGGACGAAGUCGUAACAAGGUAGCCGUACCGGGGUGCGGCUGGAUCAC